AAGUCGUAACAAGGUUUCCGUAGGUGAACCUGCGGAAGGAUCAUUAUUGAAUAAUCUUGAUGGAUUGUUGCUGGCUCUUCAAAGGAGCAAGUGCACAUCUGUCAUUUUUAUCUUUCCACCAUGUGCACUAUGCAUAGACUUGACAUUUCUGUGAUCAAACUUUGAUUUUGAUUUUUGGAGAUUGCUGUUUGUGAUAACAGCUUUUUCUGUGUUCAAGUUCUAUGAAUUUAUAUACACGCCUAUGCAUGUCAAAGAAUGUUAUAAAGGGUUUUUAAAAUCCUAUAAAGUUAAAUACAACUUUCAACAACGGAUCUCUUGGUUCUG
RNAcentral lists this unclassified non-coding RNA (324 nucleotides) under fungal sp. RNAcentral describes it as "partial internal transcribed spacer region". The stretch from base 1 to 46 matches the Rfam family "Eukaryotic small subunit ribosomal RNA", at positions 1786 to 1831 of the family's 1831-position model. The record is from RNAcentral. Lineage: Eukaryota; Fungi.